Long non-coding RNA from Engraulis encrasicolus (European anchovy), 488 nucleotides. RefSeq lists it as uncharacterized. The record is from RefSeq and is a predicted model, not a curated record. The transcript is spliced from 3 exons. Lineage: Eukaryota; Metazoa; Chordata; Actinopteri; Clupeiformes; Engraulidae.
GCCACAUCGCCAGACACUCGACAUUGUUGCUUCCCGCUGCUCGCCAAGCACCACACGAGCGUGUUUGUCAUUCACUAUCGCAGAUUUGACUGACUGACAAACUGACUGGCUGUUCCAUAGCCUUGUGCCUUUUCAGCGGCAACCGGGAGCACGCAGUCCGACAACACCUCCACAGGGACGCGCAGCUGACACAGUUUCCAAACAAGGUAAGGAGAUGAUGCUGUUGACCGAGUCGACGUUCCCGCUGUUGUGCGGCUGGUGUAUCUGGACACUUCUCUCUCUGUGUUACGGGCUCGAGUUCCGCUAUCAUAACUCAGCCGAAGUGGAGAGGUAUCUGAAAGAAGUUACAAGGAACUAUCCCAACAUCACGCACCGCUACAGCAUCGGCAAAUCCGUUGAAGGGAGGCAUCUGUGGGUCCUCGUGCUGGGAAAGUAUCCAAAAGAGCACAAAGUGGGGAUUCCGGAGUUUAAGUAUGUGGGGAACAUGC